RNAcentral lists this long non-coding RNA (4403 nucleotides) under Triticum aestivum (bread wheat). RNAcentral's name for it is "long non-coding RNA (TAES_LNC023838)". The record is from RNAcentral. Lineage: Eukaryota; Viridiplantae; Streptophyta; Magnoliopsida; Poales; Poaceae.
CCACAUCAAAACCACAUCACACGAGCUAGUACAAUCACAGGCAUCCAUCAAAAUGGCUUCAAGAAACACGGCUUUAUUCCUCGUCGGGCUGCUCCUCUCGUGCAUUGCCAUGAGCAACGGAGCAAGAAUCCUGGAGGAGAAGACGACUCCUUCCAAAGGCGAGGAGCACCUGCCGGAGCUGCCAGCGCUGCCCAAGGUCGAGCUGCCGCCGUUCCCGGAGGUGCAUCUGCCACCUAAGCCUGAACUGCCCAAGGUAGAGCUGCCGUCUUUCCCUGAGGUGCACCUGCCACCCAAGCCCGAGCUCCCAACGUUCCCAGAGGUGCACCUUCCAGCCAAGCCGGAGCUGCCUAAGGUGGAGCUGCCACCAAAGCCAGAGAUGCCCACCAUCCCGGGGUUCCACUUCCCGAAGCCGGAGGCUAAGCCAUGAAGAAUGUCUUCAGUUGUCUUCUCUUUGCUUGUGGUCCUACAUGUUCCAGUUACUCAUGUUGUGUCUUCCGUGUGGUUGUUUAGAUUUUUGGCGAGUCAUUUGUGUGCGUAUUGCAUCUAUUUAGAUGGAACGCACAUGUACAAAACAGAUGGAUGUUUACAUCAAUGUAUUUCCCUUUUAACGAAAAACAUUUGAAAAGUUUAGACUCUGCUCAACAUGCACGAUUCAUUCUAUCAACAAUUUUCACCAGAAGAUUGUUCGGGCUUGGCCGUCUAGGUGUGCUCCAAUCUCGCAGGACUUGGACGUGCUAGCUACCUAGCCAGUCACUAAUUUGUGGGCCGAGCGGGAGGUGGGGAUCCAUAUCGGGAUAAUUUCUCUGGUCGGUUCCGGUCGGCCACGACGACGAUGACGCCCGUGGGUGCCGAUUUUCUUCUUGGAGACGUCGUUCGGACCCGCCAUACCUCUUCCCACCUCACAGCUUCUCGGGUGAAACCCUAACCGCGGUGGGCGGCGACGACGUUCUAGGCGUUGUGUCCUUUCUGAAGGCGUCGCGUGAGAGCGUUGUGAUGGUGGGCACUGUUUGGGUUCAUUCGCAGGUGCAAAUGGCGUGCCCCUGGAAGGGCACAACUAUUCCGGGGGAAACCCUAGAUCUGGGUUUCCCGAAUCGGAUGAUGACGAAGACUGUGGUGCCGUUUUCCCUCCCGAGGGCAUUGUUUUGGAGCAGAGGUUCACUGGAGGGGCCAACAGGUCGAGCGGUGUUGCAUCUGCCGCAUUGAAGAUGGCGGGUCUCGACCGCGUGGAGCAAUCGAGUCUAGGCGUUAGACGCGGUUUGAUGGAUGCGUGCAGGCUGGUGGCGUUGUCUAAUGCCGUGGUGACGUCGGCGACAGAUGGGCCUGACAAGGUCUAUGCAACGAUCCCACCUGAAGAUGGGACGGUGGAAGAUGACGGUGGCGGUUCUUAGAGCGUGCGCAUGCGGUGCGCAUUGUGGGACGCCUAGACCGGUUGAUGCUCUCGGCUUGCCAGGCGGGCGGCUUAUUGAGGCCACUAGAUUAAGGUGUCCGUUGAUACGGCUAGGACAUAUCUCUAUACUUGUAGGUGUAGCGAUUUUGUUCGCCUCUAAGGUUGCUUUGGGUUGAUGUUUAUAUUUAUUUAAAAAUGGUUGCAUGCAUCAUUUGAUGCAGAGGCCGGGGAUAAUUCCCCUUUUUGAAAAAAAUAGCAAUAGAGAAAGCACGAAUGCGAGCCUCUCCUCGCUGCCGCAAUUUGCUAUGGGUCUGUUCCUCCUGGCAGAAGGGGUACACGUCAAGAUGGACACACCGCGGACCCGUUUCUUUUGCGAAGGAUCUGGACCAAAACGCAAGUACCACAUGGUUAAGUGGGCUGCGGUGUGCCGUCCCAAGGAUCUGGGAGGGCUUGGGAUCACAAACACCAGAAUCCAGAACAUUGCACUUAUGUGCAAAUGGAUUUGGAAACUCUCGCAGGGAGCGACGGGUCUAUGGGUUGACCUGCUGCGUGCCAAGUACUUCCCGAACGGGAAUUUUUUCGAGGGCGUGGCGAGGGGAUCUCCUUUCUGGAACGAUCUCCAAGCGGUCCGGCCAGCCUUCGCUCAGGGAGCCAAGUUCUCCAUUGGCAAUGGACGCUCGGCUCGCUUCUGGCUAGAUCACUGGGUGGGAGCCCAACCCCUCUGGGCCGAUUUCCAGAACCUCUAUACUCUGGCUAUCAACCCGGAGAUUACAGUUGCCACGGCUCUUGCCUCUUCCCCUCCGGCAUUACAUUUCCGGAGAGAGUUAUCGCAAGUAGAACAAGCACACCUAACGGAAUUGCUUGAUACCAUUGCGCCGGUUUCGCUGUCGUCGACGGAGGACACAGUCACCUGGGCCCUCACCCCGUCUGGCAAGUUUUCAGUCAAGUCUCUUUCCCGUAAGCUGUGCCAGGGCCCAUCCUUCCAGAUGCCAAAUGGCUUGUGGAGCGCGCGCCUUCCCCUUAAGAUUAAGGUGUUUUUCUGGCAACUGUUCCGUAAUAGACUGCCCACUUCGGCUAACGUCGCCAAACGCAAUGGGCCGUCGACCGGCCUGUGUGCGAUAUGUAACGUCCUGGAGGAUGCGACCCAUGUUUUCUUCCGUUGUCCACUGGCACGUUUUGCUUGGAGCACCGUUCGUGCAGCGGCCAACACCUCCUGGGAUCCCCGGUCAGCGUCUGACCUCGCUACCAUAGUAGACUCGAUACAUGGUGGCAACAACCGAGUGCUCUGGAGCUGUAUCGGCGCCUUGACCUGGGCAGUCUGGCUCACUAGAAACAAACUAGCUAUCGAGGGUAUCUUCCCAUCUCACCCUGCUAACAUAAUCUACAAAUGCAACCUUCUUCUGCAGCAGUGGAGUCCGUUGGCGAAGCGCAAGGAUGCUGAAAAACUGAAACAUGCCCAAGAUCGCCUCCGUCAGAUCUACGUUUUGGCUAGGGAGCCAUCUGCCACCUCUGCGCCGUGAAGUGGCCCUUUUGUCUUGCGAGCGAGCCUGCGUGCUCUAUGCUCUGCCUCCGGGCCUGUAUUUUGCAUUGCUGCGUGCUUCUGUUGGCCUGGUCUAAACUUGUGUGCCUUCGCGUCGUCGUGGUCUGAGCCUCCGUGCUCCUGUUUGAAACAUUUGUCUGAGCCUCCGUGCUCAUGUUCGAGGUCCUAACUGUGUCUGUUACGCUGCCUAUGUUGUGGGCUUUAUUAAAUUAAAGCCGGACGCUCCCAGCGUCUACGUUCUAAAAAAAAGAAAGAAAUAGCUUUUCAAUUCAUAUAAUGAUUCACGUUUGCACAUUUUGGUGCUGAUUUUCUUUUUUAUCUCUCAGUUUUGCCUCUUGCGAGAACCGAGGAAGUAUAUUCAUUGACUAAUCUGUACAGUCCAAACAAUAUUGUUAUCCAGCAAUCAUUUGACUAGUCCAGCUGUAUGGUUCUGUUUCAUAACUGCACAAAACUUAUUUCCUUGCCAUCUCCAAAAAUUUUCGGAAUUUUUGUAAUCUCUUCACUGAUUGUUAGUGGUGGUUUAGCAAACCUGGUAAACAUAGAAAACACUAUGUUCCUUGUUCGGAUUAGCUCAUAUGUUUUUCUUCUAACAAAAAGGCUAGCCCCUAUUAUUCAGUUCUCUUCACAUUCAAGCUGAAUAGUUUCUUGUUUCAUUUGAUGCCAUCAUCGUUUGAUGGGAAUGUGAUGUUGUAGCAUCCAUGAACAGCUUAAGAUUCUAUUAAUCUCAUUUAUUUCCUCAUUUGUUCAAUUUUCUCAGAUCAUAUUGUAAACGUACUAUUAAUGAUUUGGUCCUGCUGCUGUGGCCUCUGGCUUCUGUGGACUCCCACAACGAGAAGGUAUCCUUUUCUACUUAAGCAUUGCGGAUAAUAUACGUACUUGCUUGUCUUAAUUAUAAUAUACCCUUUGACAGAACAUUUGGUCUUCACAGCUAACCUAACAGCUGUAUGUGCUUGUACUGUCGUACCUACUACCCUGCACGCGGCAUCACGGUGUCCUCAACUACAACCUAAACAGCCAAACGUUGAGCAGAUAUAGACUCCAAAACGAAUUGCAUACAAGUAGAUGACCUAACCUGUUGCAAAGCUCCGGGCUCUUUGCGCAUGCUGCCUUCUGUACCCUAUAAGUAGCAAGUAGGAGCUGCUAUCUCUCCCACACUCAAAUCGCACUGCCCAGGCUAGCCAGUGCUGCAGCUGCACACGUCGAGCAAUAUGGUUUUGAAAAACUCCGCCGUUUUCCUCCUCAGUCUUCUUCUCUCAUGCGUUGCCAUGAGCGGGGCAGCGAGAAUCCUAGAGGAUACCGUUCCGUCCAAGGAGGAGCACCAGCCCGAGGUGCCAUCACUUCCCAAGGUGGAGCUGCCACCGUUCCCAGAAGUGCACCUGCCACCUAAGCCUGAGCUGCCCAAGGUGGAGCUUCCGCCGGUCCCUGAGGUGCACCUGCCAUCCAAGCCGGAGAUGCCAGAGAUGCCCAAGGUGGAGC